RNAcentral lists this ribosomal RNA (468 nucleotides) under uncultured bacterium. Its description in RNAcentral is "partial 16S ribosomal RNA". It matches the Rfam family "Bacterial small subunit ribosomal RNA", at positions 28 to 507 of the family's 1533-position model. The record is from RNAcentral.
GACGAACGCUGGCGGCGUGCUUAACACAUGCAAGUCGAACGGAAAGGCCCUGCUUUUGUGGGGUGCUCGAGUGGCGAACGGGUGAGUAACACGUGAGUAACCUGCCCUUGACUUUGGGAUAACUUCAGGAAACUGGGGCUAAUACCGGAUAGGAGCUCCUGCUGCAUGGUGGGGGUUGGAAAGUUUCGGCGGUUGGGGAUGGACUCGCGGCUUAUCAGCUUGUUGGUGGGGUAGUGGCUUACCAAGGCUUUGACGGGUAGCCGGCCUGAGAGGGUGACCGGCCACAUGGGGACUGAGAGACGGCCCAGUAUCCUACGGGAGGCAGAAGUGGGGAAUAUUGCACAAUGGGCGGAAGCCUGAUGCAGCAACGCCGCGUGCGGGAUGACGGCCUUCGGGUUGUAAACCGCUUUCGCCUGUGACGAAGCGUGAGUGACGGUAAUGGGUAAAGAAGCACCGGCUAACUACGUG